AAUGAACGUUAGCGGCGUGGAUUAGGCAUGCAAGUCGAGCGAGAACCGUAGCAAUACGGGGAAAGCGGCGCAAGGGACAGUAAUGUGUAGACUACCUACCUCCAGGUCCGGGAUAGCUGCGGGAAACUGCAGGUAAUACCGGAUAACAUCUCCGGAUCAAAGGUGUGAUUCCGCCAGGAGACGGGUCUGCAUCCUAUUAGCUAGUUGGCAGGGUAACGGCCUACCAAGGCGAUGAUGGGUAGCAGGUGUGAGAGCACGACCUGCGUCAUUGGGACUGAGACACUGCCCAGACACCUACGGGAGGCUG
RNAcentral lists this ribosomal RNA (307 nucleotides) under uncultured Planctomycetota bacterium. RNAcentral describes it as "bacterial SSU rRNA". It matches the Rfam family "Bacterial small subunit ribosomal RNA", at positions 29 to 351 of the family's 1533-position model. The record is from RNAcentral. Lineage: Bacteria; Pseudomonadati; Planctomycetota.